UAGGGAAUAUUGCACAAUGGGCGAAAGCCUGAUGCAGCAACGCCGCGUGCGCGAUGAAGGCCUUCGGGUUGUAAAGCGCUUUUCUGGAGGACGAGGAAGGACGGUACUUCAGGAAGAAGGAUCGGCUAACUACGUGCCAGCAGCCGCGGUAAAACGUAGGAUCCGAGCGUUAUCCGAAUUCACUGGGCGUAAAGCGCGUGUAGGCGGCUUUGUAAGUUGGAUGUGAAAUCUCCCGGCUCAACUGGGAGGGACGUUCAAGACUGCAAGGCUAGAGGGCAGUAGAGGGAGGCGGAAUUCCCGGUGUAGUGGUGAAAUGCGUAGAUAUCGGGAGGAACACCAGAGGCGAAGGCGGCCUCCUGGACUGCAACUGACGCUCGGACGCGAAAGCUAGGGGAGCAAA
Molecule: ribosomal RNA, 400 nt
Filed under: uncultured bacterium
Lineage: Bacteria
Description: bacterial SSU rRNA
Rfam family: Bacterial small subunit ribosomal RNA
Source: RNAcentral